UACGGGGGGGGCAAGCGUUGUUCGGAAUUACUGGGCGUAAAGGGCUCGUAGGUGGCCAACUAAGUCGGACGUGAAAUCCCUCAGCUUAACUGGGGAACUGCGUCCGAUACUGGAUGGCUUGAGUUCGGGAGAGGGAUGCGGAAUUCCAGGUGUAGCGGUGAAAUGCGUAGAUAUCUGGAGGAACACCGGUGGCGAAGGCGGCAUCCUGGACCGACACUGACACUGAGGAGCGAAAGCCAGGGGAGCAAACGGG
Molecule: ribosomal RNA, 253 nt
Filed under: uncultured bacterium
Lineage: Bacteria
Description: partial 16S ribosomal RNA
Rfam family: Bacterial small subunit ribosomal RNA
Source: RNAcentral